Molecule: long non-coding RNA, 442 nt
Organism: Engraulis encrasicolus (European anchovy)
Lineage: Eukaryota; Metazoa; Chordata; Actinopteri; Clupeiformes; Engraulidae
Exons: 3
Source: RefSeq, a predicted model, not a curated record
AUUUCCUCAUUUUAGUAAGACCAUCAGGCCUUUUUGUAACCUUUGUCACAAGUCUUAAGUUACAAGUAUUUUGUAGGUAUGUGUUUUGUGCCCUGUUUCAAGUUAAGUGCCAAGUUCAAGAGGAUCAUGACAGUUGGUUUGCUGUUGAAUUUCUUCUCAGAGCUGGAUGGUCUUUCAACAACACUGCUCCGGGUCUUCAGCAAGAAAGGUGCUUCUCAUGCAAGGAAGAUACAGAGGAUCCUGGUGCCCAUGACUCAGACUGACAACAUUGAUGUGAAGAGGGAGUGCAUGCUGAGGAGCUGACGGUCUACCUGAAUGAAGAGCCAGACAAAGUGGAUGUUGAUCUGGACGGUCCAGCUGAAACGUAUUGUCUUCGUGUGCGUGUGAUCGGCAGAGAGUCCUCAACGACAUUGGUAACGUACCUGUGGCCAUUGCAGUGUUU